GAUGAACGCUGGCGGCGUGCCUAAUACAUGCAAGUCGAGCGAACAGACGAGGAGCUUGCCCCGCUGACGUUAGCGGCGGACGGGUGAGUAACACGUGGAUAACCUACCUAUAAGACUGGAAUAACUUCAGGAAACCGGAGCUAAUACCGGAUAAUAUAGUGAACCGCAUGGUUCAAUAGUGAAAUACGGCUUUGCUGUUACUUAUAGAUGGAUCCGCGCCGCAUUAGCUAGUUGGUAGGGUAACGGCUUACCAAGGCAACGAUGCGUAGCCGACCUGAGAGGGUGAUCAGCCACACUGGAACUGAGACACGGUCCAGACUCCUACGGGAGGCAGCAGUAGGGAAUCUUCCGCAAUGGGCGAAAGCCUGACGGAGCAACGCCGCGUGAGUGAUGAAGGUCUUCGGGUCGUAAAGCUCUGUUAUUAGGAAAGAACAAAUGUGUAAGUAACUAUGCGCGUCUUGACGGUACCUAAUCAAAAAGCACCGGCUAACUACGUG
Molecule: ribosomal RNA, 497 nt
Filed under: uncultured bacterium
Lineage: Bacteria
Description: partial 16S ribosomal RNA
Rfam family: Bacterial small subunit ribosomal RNA
Source: RNAcentral